AGUCGACUGGAAUUCUUCUUCGGAAGAUAGUACGGUGGCGGACGGGUGAGUAACGCGUAAAGAAUUUGCCCUUCAGACUGGGACAACUAAUCGAAAGGUUAGCUAAUACCGGAUAUUAUGAGACCUUGGCAUCAAGGACUUAUGAAAGCUAUAUGCGCUGAAGGAGAACUUUGCGUUCCAUUAGGUAGUUGGUAGGGUAAUGGCCUACCAAGCCGACGAUGGAUAGCCGGCCUGAGAGGGUGAACGGCCACAAGGGGACUGAGACACGGCCCUUACUCCUACGGGAGGCAGCAGUGGGGAAUAUUGGACAAUGGACCAAAAGUCUGAUCCAGCAAUUCUGUGUGCACGAUGAAGGUCUUCGGAUUGUAAAGUGCUUUCAGGUGGGAAGAAGAAAGUGACGGUACCACCAGAAGAAGCGACGGCUAAAUACGUGCCAGCAGCCGCGGUAAUACGUAUGUCGCAAGCGUUAUCCG
RNAcentral lists this ribosomal RNA (473 nucleotides) under uncultured Psychrilyobacter sp. RNAcentral's name for it is "bacterial SSU rRNA". It matches the Rfam family "Bacterial small subunit ribosomal RNA", at positions 60 to 547 of the family's 1533-position model. Lineage: Bacteria; Fusobacteriati; Fusobacteriota; Fusobacteriia; Fusobacteriales; Fusobacteriaceae. The record is from RNAcentral.